This 253-nucleotide ribosomal RNA is filed under the name uncultured bacterium. RNAcentral describes it as "partial 16S ribosomal RNA". It matches the Rfam family "Bacterial small subunit ribosomal RNA", at positions 524 to 776 of the family's 1533-position model. The record is from RNAcentral.
UACGUAGGUGGCAAGCGUUGUCCGGAUUUACUGGGCGUAAAGGGCGUGCAGGCGGUCUGUUAAGUCUAGGGUGAAAGCUCCCGGCUCAACUGGGAGAGGUCCUUGGAUACUGGCGGACUUGAGGGAUGCAGAGGAAAGUGGAAUUCCCGGUGUAGUGGUGAUAUGCGUAGAUAUCGGGAGGAACACCAGUGGCGAAGGCGGCUUUCUGGGCAUUACCUGACGCUGAGACGCGAAAGCGUGGGGAGCGAACCGG